GACGACCUCUGGCGGCGCGCCUAACACAUGCAAGUCGAACGAGCGAGAGAGAGCUUGCUUUCUCGAGCGAGUGGCGAACGGGUGAGUAACGCGUGAGGAACCUGCCUCAAAGAGGGGGACAACAGUUGGAAACGACUGCUAAUACCGCAUAAGCCCACGGUGCUGCAUGGCACAGAGGGAAAAGGAGCAAUCCGCUUUGAGAUGGCCUCGCGUCCGAUUAGCUAGUUGGUGAGGUAACGGCCCACCAAGGCGACGAUCGGUAGCCGGACUGAGAGGUUGAACGGCCACAUUGGGACUGAGACACGGCCCAGACUCCUACGGGAGGCAGCAGUGGGGAAUAUUGCACAAUGGGGGAAACCCUGAUGCAGCGACGCCGCGUGGAGGAAGAAGGUCUUCGGAUUGUAAACUCCUGUUGUUGGGGAAGAUAAUGACGGUACCCAACAAGGAAGUGACGGCUAACUACGUGCCAGCAGCCGCGGUAAAACGUAGGUCACAAGCGUUGUCCGGAAUUACUGGGUGUAAAGGGAGCGCAGGCGGGAAGACAAGUUGGAAGUGAAAUCUAUGGGCUCAACCCAUAAACUGCUUUCAAAACUGUUUUUCUUGAGUAGUGCAGAGGUAGGCGGAAUUCCCGGUGUAGCGGUGGAAUGCGUAGAUAUCGGGAGGAACACCAGUGGCGAAGGCGGCCUACUGGGCACCAACUGACGCUGAGGCUCGAAAGUGUGGGUAGCAAACAGGAUUAGAUACCCUGGUAGUCCACACCGUAAACGAUGAUUACUAGGUGUUGGAGGAUUGACCCCUUCAGUGCCGCAGUUAACACAAUAAGUAAUCCACCUGGGGAGUACGACCGCAAGGUUGAAACUCAAAGGAAUUGACGGGGGCCCGCACAAGCAGUGGAGUAUGUGGUUUAAUUCGACGCAACGCGAAGAACCUUACCAAGUCUUGACAUCCCUUGACAGGCAUAGAAAUAUGUUUUCUCUUCGGAGCAAGGAGACAGGUGGUGCAUGGUUGUCGUCAGCUCGUGUCGUGAGAUGUUGGGUUAAGUCCCGCAACGAGCGCAACCCUUAUGGUCAGUUACUACGCAAGAGGACUCUGGCCAGACUGCCGUUGACAAAACGGAGGAAGGUGGGGAUGACGUCAAAUCAUCAUGCCCUUUAUGACUUGGGCUACACACGUACUACAAUGGCGUUAAACAAAGAGAAGCAAGACCGCGAGGUGGAGCAAAACUCAGAAACAACGUCCCAGUUCGGGCUGCAGGCUGCAACUCGCCUGCACGAAGUCGGAAUUGCUAGUAAUCGUGGAUCAGCAUGCCACGGUGAAUACGUUCCCGGGCCUUGCACA
Molecule: ribosomal RNA, 1338 nt
Filed under: uncultured bacterium
Lineage: Bacteria
Description: bacterial SSU rRNA
Rfam family: Bacterial small subunit ribosomal RNA
Source: RNAcentral